This 28-nucleotide non-coding RNA is filed under the name Mus musculus (house mouse). The record is from RNAcentral. Lineage: Eukaryota; Metazoa; Chordata; Mammalia; Rodentia; Muridae.
UGAGGUUAGGAUCAGCCAAGGAGUUUAC